UUCCUGGUUUCAGUUUAGUUUCACUUUCACCAGGAUCGUGUCGCGGGUGUUUUUCUCUCCGUGUCAACCUCCGUCUGAAGGUGCAGCCCUGACUGGUUCCAGGAAGUAUCUCACCUGAGUCUCUAGUGUCCAGGUAGAAAGUUGAUGUGGACUCAGCAGCAUGGACCAGAGGGAGGACAAAGAGGAGGGAGUCAGACAUCUGCAGGACGGGUUGACUGGUUUCAGUCAUUCAUCUGAUCCCAGCUGUGUUUCUCUCAGAAGUGAUCGGUCACAUGAUCACCUCAUUGAUUUUAAAGGACAUCAACCCUCUGCUCCUGAGAGGAUCAGUCCAGACCCCAGCUGUGUGUCCCUCAACAGUGAUCAGUCCAAUGAUCGCAUCAUUGAAUUUAAAGGACAUCAACCCUCUGCUCCUGAGAGGUAAACCAGUGUCCAGCUUCAUCCAUGAGUCAGAGGAGACUAGCUCCUUUCUACAGUUUCCACUUUAACCUGUGGAGGUUGAUUUGAGAAGCAGGCUUUGGAUCAUAGGACACUGGUUUGAAUGGUAACUGACAGGUAGAACAUGUGUGUGGGUGGAGUGAAGAAGCCAUA
Mugil cephalus (flathead mullet) is the source of this 588-nucleotide long non-coding RNA. RefSeq lists it as uncharacterized. The transcript is spliced from 4 exons. The record is from RefSeq and is a predicted model, not a curated record. NCBI's taxonomy places the organism in Eukaryota, Metazoa, Chordata, Actinopteri, Mugiliformes, Mugilidae.